GACUNGAGUGCAGAAGGGGAGAGUGGAAUUCCAUGUGUAGCAGUGAAAUGCGUAGAUAUAUGGAGGAACACCAGUGGCGAAAGCGGCUCUCUGGUCUGUCACUGACGCUGAGGCUCGAAAGCGUGGGUAGCGAACAGGAUUAGAUACCNUGGUAGUCCACGCCGUAAACGAUGAGUGCUAGGUGUUAGGCCCUUUCCGGGGCUUAGUGCCGGAGCUAACGCAAUAAGCACUCCGCCUGGGGAGUACGACCGCAAGGUUGAAACUCAAAGGAAUUGACGGGGGCCCGCACAAGCGGUGGAGCAUGUGGUUUAAUUCGAAGCAACGCGAAGAACCUUACCAGGUCUUGACAUCCCGAUGCUAUUCUUAGAGAUAGGAAGUUACUUCGGUACAUCGGAGACAGGUGGUGCAUGGUUGUCGUCAGCUCGUGUCGUGAGAUGUUGGGUUAAGUCCCGCAACGAGCGCAACCCUUAUUGUUAGUUGCCAUCAUUAAGUUGGGCACUCUAGCGAGACUGCCGGUAAUAAACCGGAGGAAGGUGGGGAUGACGUCAAAUCAUCAUGCCCCUUAUGACCUGGGCUACACACGUGCUACAAUGGUCGGUACAACGAGUUGCGAGCCGGUGACGGCAAGCUAAUCUCUGAAAGCCGAUCUCAGUUCGGAUUGGAGGCUGCAACUCGCCUCCAUGAAGUCGGAAUCGCUAGUAAUCGCGGAUCAGCACGCCGCGGUGAAUACGUUCCCGGGCCUUGUNC
RNAcentral lists this ribosomal RNA (747 nucleotides) under uncultured bacterium. RNAcentral describes it as "bacterial SSU rRNA". It matches the Rfam family "Bacterial small subunit ribosomal RNA", at positions 639 to 1386 of the family's 1533-position model. The record is from RNAcentral.